CCUGACUUAUAGAGUCUUUGCAGGUGCAGGUAUCAGUGGUGUAUCACAUGUGUGUCAGUAAGUGUCAGAAAAGAGAAACACUAUGUCUGCCCAGUAUUUGAAUUUGUAAAUAUCAGAAUAAUCAGUUUUCAUU
This is a small nucleolar RNA of Rattus norvegicus (Norway rat), 133 nucleotides long. Ensembl annotates it as small nucleolar RNA SNORA17. Lineage: Eukaryota; Metazoa; Chordata; Mammalia; Rodentia; Muridae. The record is from Ensembl.